CGGUUUCGAUCUGCUGGGGGCAGAUGAAGUGGAUGUGGGUGUCGAUGCCAGCCGCCGUGAGGAUGUGCCCUUCCCCGGCGAUCGCUUCGGUGCCGGGGCCCACCACGAUCGUCACCCCGUCCUGGAUGUCGGGAUUGCCGGCUUUGCCGAUCGCCACGAUGCGGCCGUCCUUCAGCCCCACAUCCGCCUUGACGAUGCCCCACCAGUCGAGGAUCAGGGCGUUGGUGAUCACCGUGUCCACGGCGCCGUCGGCGCGGCUGGUCUGGGCCUGGCCCAUGCCGUCGCGGAUCA
This is a non-coding RNA of Synechococcus sp. RS9917, 291 nucleotides long. The record is from Rfam. NCBI's taxonomy places the organism in Bacteria, Bacillati, Cyanobacteriota, Cyanophyceae, Synechococcales, Synechococcaceae.